GGAGCAGCGUGUCAGGAUGAAGCCAGGGAGGCAGUGCCAGAACCACACAUUGAGGCUGAUGGUGGGAGUACACCAGGGAUCAUUUUGUGCUGAUAUUCACGUCCUGGGCCCCAUCCUCCUGAGAAACAUGUCUUCAGCAAGCAAAGAGCUGUGACGUUCAAUCCAUAAACACAGGUUCCCGCAGCAGAACAGCCUCUCCAGCCCCCAGGCUCUUGCAGCACCCGGAGCCUGGCACCUUCUGCUGGCCCCACACCGCUGGCAGUUUUGUAGCAGAGCACCUCCAGUGACACCUCCCCAUGUGCAGGUUCAAGAUCUGCUUCCUUCAAGAUCAGCUUGAAGAUCUGAUUCCUCUCCAGGAGCUUUCCCCAGCAUACUAGGGGGUUGAUUCCUGGCAAGUUCUGCUGCAUCUCAGCAUCUCAGCAACCCUGCCAUCCUGUGCACCAGGCAGCCCUAGGGCCAGCAGCUGCUCCCUGUAUCUACUGUUUCCACAUUCUUUAGAGUGCCUUUGCUUCCCUCCAGCCAACCCCUUGUUACUCCAAUCCACUAUUGCAGUUAAUAAUUUGUUAUAUUAAACCUUCCCUGUUCAACUUGC
Molecule: long non-coding RNA, 592 nt
Organism: Herpailurus yagouaroundi (jaguarundi)
Lineage: Eukaryota; Metazoa; Chordata; Mammalia; Carnivora; Felidae
Exons: 2
Source: RefSeq, a predicted model, not a curated record